GUUUUCCUAGCUACCCUCUGGUCAGGGCAGUUUUGCUGCUGAAAUUGGAGAUUCCCAGCAUGGAAGGGUCCCUACUGAAUAUCUGGCUUAUUUUUCUCAGUGAGAAAACCAGGGUGCUGGCACUGGGGGAGAGGUCUGGAGGGUUCCCCCAGGUCACACAGCUAAGGAGAGGCCAGGCGGGGCUCCCCACCACCCAACAGGAGAGAAGUCGGAUAGGUCAGAGGCCUCUCCUGAAGAGGGGGAGGGCACUCUUUCUUCUGGAGACCCAGAAACUCAGCUCCUGUGGGCAAAAUCACAGUACUGGUGACAGAACACUACUAGCCUCAGGUCCAGUGCUAACUGGGCUACGUGCUUUGGUCUGUUUUCUCAUUUAAUCAUCAAAGCAACUUGUGAGGAAGUUGCUGCUCUGGACGUGACCCUGGACACUCCCCAGGCCUCUGUCUCUCGGUCUGUACAGAUGGAGUUUUGUGGAGGAUCCUCGGGCCCAGUCCUGCCCUGACCUCCUGGGAGUCCAUGAGGAGGGCCCCUGGCCUGGGAAUAAGCCCUGACGUGGACAGGCGCCGUUCCCCUUUUGUCUCCAUUUCCCUAGCUUGGGCCUCCUUUUGCAGGCUCUGGGUUUGGGUCCUUCGAAAGUGGGCGAAGGCAAGGUGGGCUCCCUCUUUUUAAAUCCCAGACAGACUAAGCUGGGGUCACUUUCCUUGUGGGACUUCUCUGCUCCCUCUCUUCCCCACCAAGUGUCUGGGAAGAGCUGCCAGACUUGGAUUUGGGGCAGGGAUGUGGGCCUCUCUGCUCCCAGUCGGCACUACCACCUGUCAGCCACCCUGGGCCCCUAGCCAUAGGGUGCCUGGAAUGGAAGCUUCUGGAAAGCCUCAAGGCCUGGCUGUGCCCAGCUCACUCUGAGCCCUCGGCAGGAACUCGGGCUGCUCCCAUCUUGGCCAGAAGGCUCUAUCUGCCUUGGACAUGAUCCAGGCCAGAGUAAAGGAGUUUUGUUCGUGAAGCAGAGACCAGAUGUAGGCACACAGAGGGCUCUUUGCUUUGCAGUUGAAGCUUUUAAAGAUUUGUUUUCUUUCAAAAUCCUGCUGCAGGAAAGAGAAGCACCAGAUCAAACAUUCCUGAAACAUGACUUUAAAGGGGCAAUUUGUUCAUUUCCGUCCCACCCUGUUUCUCCUCACUGGGGUCUUGGGCAGUUGUCCUUGGGUUUUGGUGGAGGGUCCACACCCCUCCAGGCUCCCCAAGAGGUUUCCUCAGCGCCAGAUCCAGCCUGAGGGCCUCUGGUCACAGCUAGGGCCAAGCUUGGUCCCAGGAGGGUCUGCACAUCCCCCUCAGCACGUGGAGGGACUUUUCCUCCGUCCUCAGCCCCACUGGCACUGUUAACCAUACCCCCUUUCUUGAAAACUCUCUUUCCUUGACCUCAGGUUGCAGACACGCUUCCGGCUCUCCUCCUGUCUAGGACUCCUCUUCUCCCCUCCUCCUGUGCCCAGGCCCCACCCUUGGGGCUUGUGCCCCCUUGGAGAACUCGCUCAUCCCCUUAUGGGGCCUGCCCACCCUCUGCCCCCAGGCCCCAGGUCCUCACAGCCUGAAUUUUCUUCCUGUUGCUUUACUAGGGUGUAAGUGACAAUCUUGUAAGACAUGGAAAGUAUACAGUGUGAGCUGUGCUGUAUGCAUGCACUGUGAAAGGCUCUCCCCCAUCCAGUUGGCCUUAAUGUUAUGUGAUUAAAUUAUUCCCUUGGCAUUUCCAAGUUCUACCACCGGACCUGUUUCCUCAUCUGUGAAAUAAGCAUGUGGAACCAAAAGAUCUGUAGCUCUUUCUAGCUCUGGCGUUACCUGAGAACAUCUGGGACGUGGGGGCUAUGGACAGUCUCACUGGCCUUGGGAGCUGCGCCCACCACCACUGUAGCCCCCUCUCCUGGAGGCCCCCACAGACAGGACAGCCUGACCAGCUGCCAUGCUCUGAUCUCAAAUUAGAAUCACACCUCACAUCUCUGUACACGCACUUUGAUCAUGAAAGGCCUCCUCCCCCCUCGGUGGCAGCCUGGUGACCUGGAGCAAAGGGGAUGAAGACAGCUGCUGCCUCCACAGCCGCCAUGGCCCUGAGGCCUCAGCAGGAAGUGAGGGAGCUGCCAGGCCUGGAGGUGACAUGCAUUGGCUACGUGUGCCCCAUGUGCCAGACAUCGUGUGAGUCAUUCUGUAGGUGUUAGCCCAUUCAUGCCGCUGAAGCGCCCUGGCUGGGAAGUGUGGUUAUCACUUUCAUCUUGUGGAGAAGGAGGUGACGCCCGGCAAGAUGUGCAGGGCCCUGCACGCAGCUGGCCUCCUGGUCACCCUGACUCCCCAGCAGUGGCAGACCCAGCACCUCUGGCAUCUUCCUGUGAAGGCUGGAACACUUGUUCUCAUAGGAAGCGGACUCUUGAGUGGGAGAGCAUUUGGGGUUCCCCCUCAGGCCUCUCUGGCUCCAGGGAUCUCCUCCUUCCUUCCACAGCUUCCCCAUUGGUCUGCUAGCUCUCUUUUUCCCCCAGCCUGCCCCUUGCUGGGGGCUGCCCCGGCGCCUCUCCCAACCACCAUGUACCUCCUUUCCUCUUCUUUAAAUUCCAAAGUAGGAUGGCAGGGAAAUUCUGUCCGUUCUUCCAUCUGGCCUCAGAUUUCAGGCAGCAGUUCAAGAUAAAUUCAAGGUGAUUUCUUAUCAAA
Non-coding RNA from Manis javanica (Malayan pangolin), 2682 nucleotides. Lineage: Eukaryota; Metazoa; Chordata; Mammalia; Pholidota; Manidae. The record is from RefSeq and is a predicted model, not a curated record.